Long non-coding RNA from Bufo bufo (common toad), 995 nucleotides. RefSeq lists it as uncharacterized. NCBI's taxonomy places the organism in Eukaryota, Metazoa, Chordata, Amphibia, Anura, Bufonidae. The record is from RefSeq and is a predicted model, not a curated record. The transcript has 3 exons.
UGAUAGGAUUGACUUAGUUCCACAUUCCAUGCUUUAUCUUGGUUGUUUGGUGUUGCCUACACUUUCAAAAGGAAAUUGACAGAUGACUGAAGUUUUAUGACCUGAAAGAAAUAAUACAAGAUGGGUGCUUCAUGUGGAAAGGUUUACUUAUCCAAGGUUAAAAGGAAGAAGAAGUUGAUAGGAUUGGCUUAGUUCCACAUUCCAUGCUUUAUUUUGGUUGUUUGGUGUUGCCUACACUUUCAAAAGGAAAUUGACAGAUGACUGAAGUUUUAUGACCUGAAAGAAAUAAUACAAGAUGGGUGCUUCAUGUGGAAAGGUAAGUAGAUUGAGAGGCUAUAGCUUCUUGAUGUUUGGCUGGCUGGUUUUGUCUGUACUAGUAGUGGAUUUCUAUCACAUAUGUACCUCUUGUCUUCCACUAGGUUUACUUAUCCAAGGUUAAAAGGAAGAAGAAGUUGAUAGGAUUGGCUUAGUUCCACAUUCCAUGCUUUAUUUUGGUUGUUUGGUGUUGCCUACACUUUCAAAAGGAAAUUGACAGAUGACUGAAGUUUUAUGACCUGAAAGAAAUAAUACAAGAUGGGUGCUUCAUGUGGAAAGGUAAGUAGAUUGAGAGGCUAUAGCUUCUUGAUGUUUGGCUGGCUGGUUUUGUCUGUACUAGUAGUGGAUUUCUAUCACAUAUGUACCUCUUGUCUUCCACUAGGUUUACUUAUCCAAGGUUAAAAGGAAGAAGAAGUUGAUAGGAUUGGCUUAGUUCCACAUUCCAUGCUUUAUCUUGGUUGUUUGGUGUUGCCUACACUUUCAAAAGGAAAUUGACAGAUGACUGAAGUUUUAUGACCUGAAAGAAAUAAUACAAGAUGGGUGCUUCAUGUGGAAAGGUUUACUUAUCCAAGGUUAAAAGGAAGAAGAAGUUGAUAGGAUUGGCUUAGUUCCACAUUCCAUGCUUUAUUUUGGUUGUUUGGUGUUGCCUACACUUUCAAAAGGAAAUUGACAGAUGACUG